RNAcentral lists this ribosomal RNA (475 nucleotides) under uncultured bacterium. Its description in RNAcentral is "SSU rRNA". It matches the Rfam family "Bacterial small subunit ribosomal RNA", at positions 26 to 518 of the family's 1533-position model. The record is from RNAcentral.
AGGACGAACGCUGGCGGCGUGCUUAACACAUGCAAGUCGAGCGGAAAGGCCCUUCGGGGUACUCGAGCGGCGAACGGGUGAGUAACACGUGGGCAACCUGCCCUUAGCUCUGGGAUAGCUCCGGGAAACCGGAAUUAAUACCGGAUAUGACCUAGGCCGACAUCGGCCGUGGUGGAAAGUUUUUCGGCUAGGGAUGGACUCGCGGCCUAUCAGCUAGUUGGUGGGGUAAUGGCCUACCAAGGCGACGACGGGUAGCCGGCCUGAGAGGGCGACCGGCCACACUGGGACUGAGACACGGCCCAGACUCCUACGGGAGGCAGCAGUGGGGAAUCUUGCGCAAUGGGCGAAAGCCUGACGCAGCGACGCCGCGUGGGGGAUGGAAGGCCUUCGGGUUGUAAACCCCUUUCAGCAGGGACGAAGCGAAAGUGACGGUACCUGCAGAAGAAGCGCCGGCUAACUACGUGCCAGCAGCCGC